CACGCCCUUCCCGCACAAUCACUCGCUGUCCCCUCCACGCUCAGCACCGGUUACGGGGGCUUGCGGGGCCUGCGCUCCAUCUGCUGUAGGCCCGGCGCAGGUUGCCUCGUCUGCACUUAGCGUCUUGGGUUUAAGGGGAGAAGGGCGGGACAGGACAGGGUGUGACUUCCGCCUUGGCACCUGGGAUUUGUAAUUUAUUUCUGGAUCUUUCUCCUUGGGGAUUGGGGGGUUAAAAGAUCGUGGGAAGGGGCUCAGGCAACUGAAAAUAAGAAAGAAAGACCCUCAUACCUUUGGGGCUCAUUUCCCAAAAGAAGCUCAGAAUGUCUGUUUUCGUUAGUACUAAUUAGACGAAAACUACUGUACUGAAAAUGAUAAAGCUUCAGUGAGCAGACAAGAUUACGAAAAUGAAGAAAGGUAAACAGUAGCUACACAGCUGAUUAGCAGCCCAGAUGUAACUAGUCCAGCAGUCCUAAAUGUGCCGCACACCCCGCUGCACCUCCCUCCCUCCCUCCCCGAGCCCAGGGCCGCUUCCUCCGGAGAACGUUCAAGCUCAGCACUGGAUCUGUAACCCUGGUGUUGCUUGCCUCCUUUGCUGUGGACUUAAUGUUGACGUUAAAGAUUUCCCAAAGCUAAUAAUUGAAUGCGAAUUAAUAAGUUGCUCAGAAAAUGGCUACUCAUCAGGUGAAGUUGCUUCAAAAACUACAGAAAAUGUUGAGUAAACUUUGAUCCCCUGGUGCCAUAUGGCGAUAUGACUUCCCAAAUCAAAGCUUCAGAUGUUACUCAUAUCAAUAAAGAACACUCCCACUUCAUACAAACAAAUCAAGCUUGGGCAACCUAAUAUCUGAUGGCCACAUUUGGAGGUAUCUGUAUGGAGUUAAACAUGCUUGUACUUGGGAUACUGUCCAGAUACAUCCCUUAUGUGUGAAUUCUCCAACAUUAAAAGACAAGGACAAAAAAAGGAGUCAAGUGUAUGGUCCAUUUACCCCAUGUUCACCCCCAAAAAGUAAACUUUGUAGACAAACUAAUAAUGCUGUCUUCAAAAUAUUUGUUACUCUUUGUUCUUUAUGUAUU
Molecule: long non-coding RNA, 1071 nt
Organism: Fukomys damarensis (Damara mole-rat)
Lineage: Eukaryota; Metazoa; Chordata; Mammalia; Rodentia; Bathyergidae
Exons: 4
Source: RefSeq, a predicted model, not a curated record